UCGGGGUGUAGGAACGUCGUGCCGGGCUCCUGGCGGCUUCUGUCCGCUCUGCGGCGGGAGGCGCCUUCCCCACAGGACAUCAAUGCAAGCCUAAAUAAGAAUAACAAUUUCUUCCUCCUAAAGCCAUGGCAUAUCAGUUAUACAGAAAUACCACUUUGGGAAACAGUCUUCAGGAGAGCCUAGAUGAGCUCAUACAGUCUCAACAGAUCACCCCCCAACUUGCCCUUCAAGUUCUACUUCAGUUUGAUAAGGCUAUAAAUUCAGCACUGGCUCUCAGAGGGUCAGGAACAGAGUCAAUUUCAGGGGCUCUCUAAAUACAUACAGAUUCUGCAAUAACGUGUGGACUUUCGUAUUGAAUGAUGUUGAAUUCAGAGAGGUGACAGAACUUAUUAAAGUGGAUAAGGUGAAAAUUGUAGCCUGUGAUGGUAAAAAUACUGGCUCCAAUACUAAAGAAUGA
Molecule: RNA transcript, 457 nt
Organism: Propithecus coquereli (Coquerel's sifaka)
Lineage: Eukaryota; Metazoa; Chordata; Mammalia; Primates; Indriidae
Gene name: transcription initiation factor IIA subunit 2 pseudogene
Exons: 1
Source: RefSeq, a predicted model, not a curated record